This 385-nucleotide unclassified non-coding RNA is filed under the name soil metagenome. RNAcentral describes it as "partial contains 5.8S ribosomal RNA, internal transcribed spacer 2, and large subunit ribosomal RNA". The stretch from base 1 to 120 matches the Rfam family "5.8S ribosomal RNA", at positions 35 to 154 of the family's 154-position model. The record is from RNAcentral.
GAUGAAGAACGUAGCAAAAUGCGAUAAGUAAUGUGAAUUGCAGAAUUCAGUGAAUCAUCGAAUCUUUGAACGCACCUUGCACCCUUUGGCAUUCCGAAGGGUAUGCUCGUUUGAGUGUCAUUGUACUCUCACACUCCCAAUUGCUUUGGAUUGGGAGCGGUGGACUUGGAUGUUGCUGCUUGACUGAGGCUCACCUGAAAUAUGUUAGUGCACCUCUUGAUUGGACAUAGUACGGCGUGAUAAGUGUCUUCGCCGGCUCCUCGCAAAGAGGGUGGCCGAUCGGGAGCUCUGUUGCUUCAAACUGUCUUCGGACAAUCUUCUGGCGACUUGACCUCAAAUCGAGUAGGACUACCCGCUGAACUUAAGCAUAUCAAUAAGCGGAGGA